CGUGCACUCUUGCCGCCGGUCGCCACCCUCUUUUGUUUAUUUUGUUUUUUUUGAUGCAUUCUACAGAUCCAUAUUUCUUCGGGUUAGCCGAAAUCUUCUUCCGUUGCGGAUCUUACGUCUUCGCUAGACGAUGUUUUGUUGUGUUUCCUUGUUCUUCUUUGAAGCUGAACCUCAAUCAAAUUCUUUUAUCUUCGAUGAAGAACAUUCUACUUUCCAUUGGUUUUAAUUGAAUCCCGAUGGCCAAUGAAUCGGAAUUUCUUUUCUUACCGUUUCACUUUAAUCAAUUUACAAAGAGAAUCAGUCUUUUUUGUCGAUUUAGCCAUAUAUGGCGUUUAGAAAAGCAUCACUAUCUGGAAUUGAUUGGGUUUGAUGGAUUUUUGGAGUCACUUCGAAGGAGAUCAAGAAGAGUUGGCGCUUAUAGCGGUCCAACGAAUGUUCUUUCUUCAGGUUGACUAAAGCUUCUUUGGUCCUAAUCAACGGUGAAAGAGGGCAUCUCUGAUUAGGAGGUCGCGGUUGUAGUGGAAAGUAUCUUCAGAUCGGGAAGAACGGGGCACCGGAACUGAGUAUGGAUCGUCACAAAAGUACAUCAAGACAGAGGAGCACUGCUACGGCGGACCAGUGGCGGAGCGGCGCCGACAAUUUCAUCUCGCGCAUGGAAGCCAUGUGUCCACUUCGUGUCACUAAGAGGCCGAAAAAUUAAUCAUGUUUCUUGAAUAGUGUCGGUUCAUGCUUUUGGGUUUAAUGUUGUAAAUUUAUGUUUUUGUUUAUGGGUCUUAAUGUUCUAAGCC
RNAcentral lists this long non-coding RNA (788 nucleotides) under Brassica napus (rape). RNAcentral's name for it is "long non-coding RNA (BNAP_LNC025345)". Lineage: Eukaryota; Viridiplantae; Streptophyta; Magnoliopsida; Brassicales; Brassicaceae. The record is from RNAcentral.